Molecule: long non-coding RNA, 3006 nt
Organism: Lycium barbarum (goji berry)
Lineage: Eukaryota; Viridiplantae; Streptophyta; Magnoliopsida; Solanales; Solanaceae
Exons: 9
Source: RefSeq, a predicted model, not a curated record
UUAUAAAGGUCAAAAUAUGGCACUUAAGUUGCUUUUCUACAGAAACUGCUCAGGGAGGGACUUUUGAGAUCUAUUAUAUUAUUACCCAAUACAAAAUUGAGGAUAUUUUGGAUUUAAAUUAAAUCUUGGUCAAAGAGGGUCAUAAAAGGGUCAUAUGUCAAAAGAGAACUCCAAGCAAAGCAUAGUCAUUUUUGUUGGCUAGAUAAAAAUGCCAAGAAGCUCUUUCGGUCCCUUGUUUUUGUGCAUCUACUGAAUGUGAAGAUAAAGAGUGUUAUGAGCUUCAUGCAAAUUGAGUUUUUACAAAUAAACAGUGGCAACAUUUGCAAGAACUGUAAAUCGUCACUAGUUCUACUUCAAUAAUUUCAAGGAUCUCUGAAAAUGAAGUUUAUCCAGAGAUAUUGAUUUUUUGGGGACAUUUGAGCAUUUUAACCAAUUUGGAGCAUCAUAGUAGUAUCUUGGAGCUUGAAGUUGAGGUUGAGGUGUGGCACGUGAUAAUCGGACAACGCUGGAUGACUCUCUUCCCAAGAUUAAGGUGCAAUGAGUUGAGUUCAAUGUGGUUGAUGGAUAGAUCGUUAUAAGAUAUCGACUGUUGGCGAUGUUUGAGCAUUUUAACCAAUUUGGAACGUCGUAGUAAUAUCUUGGAGCUUGAAGUUGAGGUAAGUUAAGACUUGCUCUUCUUGAGGUGUUUGGUCUACAUGUUUACAAAUGAAUUAUGUAUAAAUGUGAGUCCGUUCUUGGCGGGGACAGCGAGUGCGAGUCUCUCCAACAACAACAACAACAACAACAGCCCAGUGAAAUCCCACAUCUUGGGGUCUGGGGAGGGUAUAAUGUACGCAGACCUUACUCCUACCAAGGUAGGAUGGCUGUUUCCGAGAGACCCUCGGCUCAAUAGAAGCAUAAAAAGGGGGUCAGAUAAGGUUAAAAGAUUUAGAACGAUAUUGCAAUGAAAUAAUGCAAGUCUCUCCAUAUUUUAUAAUUAUAUUGCAUAUAAAGUACCAUUGAUUUAUAAACAAUACAUUGACAUGGAAAUAUAGCGAUGAAGCUAAUUGUUGAAGUGGCAGAAGUAAAAUCUCAUAAGUUUAUGAAGGCUUGCAUUUAUGCUAAAGGAAUGGAAAGGAAUUUAAGUAAAGAUUUUAAAUUUGUCUUAGAUAAAGUAUUGUGUCGAAAGUGCUAUUUCUUUUGAAUAAAUUAUAUUCAUUGGUAUUUAUACUUUUAAGAACUAAAUGGAUUGAAAAUAACACUUGUUGAAUACUAAGUAUUUUAAAUUCUCAUUUGAUAAUAUUUUUUUAGUAUAUUUGAGAAAAUUUCCUGUGCUUUGAUUAUUCUAUGUUAUCUGUGUCGCUUGCGUUACUUCAUUUCCAUAUCGCUUUGAAUCUCUUAGCCGUAUCUGACCUCUUUUUAUGUUUUUAUUGAGUCGAGGGUCUCUCGGAAACAGCCAUCCUACCUUGGUAGGAGUAAGGUCUGCGUACACUCUACCCUCCCCAGACCUCACGUUGUGGGAUUUCACUGGGUUGUUGUUGUUGUAUUUGAGAAAAGGUUUAUAUUUGAUUAUGUUCAAAAUGAGUUGGAUUGGCUAUGAAUGCCAUGAUUUGAUGUAAAAAUAAAAAAGAUCUUUUCGAGCUAAUAUGCUAUGAAUCUCUAUCUGAAUACCAAAUAUUUUGGGAGAUACUUGUGAUCACCGAGAUUGGCUUCAGAUACAUUCUGAUUAUCGCCAUGAAACUACACUUUCCGGUGUAGGCAUGGGCUCUACCUAAUGGUAAAGCGCUACGCAGAGUGCCCCCAUGAGAGGGUACUGUUGUGCUAUAAUAGCAUGACUGAGUCAAUUCGUACGGCACUACGAUGAGACGACCUAAGAAAGUACGGUGUACGAUACUUGUUGCCAGGUUGAUCACCUAGUUGACCUUGGAUCUUGUGUUGGUGUUGGUGUAGUGAUCCCGGUGAAAGGUAAUAAAGGAUUUGAUUACAUUUAGGCCUAAGGAGCCAAAAGUGAUUUCAAAUGAUUCACUGAAUUAAUUUAAAUCAGGUUUGAGAAGAUUCUCGUGUAUUCAUUAUUUAAUGUUUUUUAGGUUGAUGUGAAAUAGAGUUUACACAUGACUUUCAAUUUCAAAUAUUGAAAUUGUGAUUUGAUAUAAAUGUUUUCUAUUAGUGAUACUUGCAUUGAUUUCCCAAUAAAAUCUUGUCCCAGCUUUGAGUUGGAGAGAGUCAAUGAUACUUACUAGUACUGUGACGGUGUACUCGCCCUCUUUUGGGGCCCUCUAUUUUUCAUAUUUCAGGUUGAGGUGUGGCACGUGAUAAUCGGACAAGGCUAGGAUGACUCUCUUCCCAAGCCAAGAGGUAGCAUGCUUGAUGUUCAAAUUUUCACUUGCCUGAUGUAGGUUACUAAAUUCAAGUUAAUUAAAUAAUUCAAAAUUUUCUACAUCAAUAACUUGUAGGUGAAUCUUAAUGCUUUCAAAGGACUUGCACAAACAGACACACUCAAAAUGGAUUAUUUGUAAUCAAGAGGUAUUAGUUUCUAUUGGUCAAGCAUGUGUACCAAGGUUCCAAUGCUUUUUAUAAAAGCCUGAUGCAGAUAACAUUCAUUUUUCCUGAAGUGGAUGGGGUCAAAGAUCUGCAACUUGAAAUUGUUGCUGGUGCUGCGGUUAAAGGAUUGAACCAUUUGAAGUCUGAAGAGUGUGUCCUUGAAGAUGGUGCAGAGCAAGUUAAAGCAUAUAUGUUCUUAUUUUGGUACUGAUUUAUAGGACGAAGGAUCUGUUCGCUAGGAUUCUCUCAUAUCAGCUAUUGGUGAGCCCCACUUCAUUCGGGGUGUUAUUUAUUUCAUGUUCAUGUCAUGUUAGGUAAUAGAGGUAUGCUAUGGUCCUUGUACCAUUAAAACAAUUUAGUAUUCAGAUUCAUGAUUUAGAGGUUUCAUAGACUAGUCUAGCAUGUUAUAUCAGAUGUUCGGUGUUGUAUAGCCAGUGUUGGCUCUGUAAUUAUCAUGUUUUCAGACUAAUUUGUACAUUUUCAGUA